This 497-nucleotide ribosomal RNA is filed under the name uncultured bacterium. RNAcentral's name for it is "partial 16S ribosomal RNA". It matches the Rfam family "Bacterial small subunit ribosomal RNA", at positions 28 to 507 of the family's 1533-position model. The record is from RNAcentral.
GAUGAACGCUGGCGGCGUGCCUAAUACAUGCAAGUCGAGCGAACAGACGAGGAGCUUGCUCCUCUGACGUUAGCGGCGGACGGGUGAGUAACACGUGGAUAACCUACCUAUCAGACUGGGAUAACUUCGGGAAACCGGAGCUAAUACCGGAUAAUAUAUUGAACCGCAUGGUUCAAUAGUGAAAGACGGUUUUGCUGUCACUUAUAGAUGGAUCCGCGCCGCAUUAGCUAGUUGGUACGGUAACGGCUUACCAAGGCAACGAUGCGUAGCCGACCUGAGAGGGUGAUCGGCCACACGGGAACUGAGACACGGUCCAGACUCCUACGGGAGGCAGCAGUAGGGAAUCUUCCGCAAUGGGCGAAAGCCUGACGGAGCAACGCCGCGUGAGUGAUGAAGGUCUUCGGAUCGUAAAACUCUGUUAUUAGGGAAGAACAAAUGUGUAAGUAACUAUGCACGUCUUGACGGUACCUAAUCAGAAAGCCACGGCUAACUACGUG